RNAcentral lists this ribosomal RNA (497 nucleotides) under uncultured bacterium. RNAcentral's name for it is "partial 16S ribosomal RNA". It matches the Rfam family "Bacterial small subunit ribosomal RNA", at positions 28 to 507 of the family's 1533-position model. The record is from RNAcentral.
GAUGAACGCUGGCGGCGUGCCUAAUACAUGCAAGUCGAGCGAACAGACGAGGAGCUUGCUCCUCUGACGUUAGCGGCGGACGGGUGAGUAACACGUGGAUAACCUACCUAUAAGACUGGGAUAACUUCGGGAAACCGGAGCUAAUACCGGAUAAUAUAUUGAACCGCAUGGUUCAAUAGUGAAAGACGGUUUUGCUGUCACUUAUAGAUGGAUCCGCGCCGCAUUAGCUAGUUGGUAAGGUAACGGCUUACCAAGGCAACGAUGCGUAGCCGACCUGAGAGGGUAAUCGGCCACACUGGAACUGAGACACGGUCCAGACUCCUACGAGAGGCAGCAGUAGGGAAUCUUCCGCAAUGGGCGAAAGCCUGACGGAGCAACGCCGCGUGAGUGAUGAAGGUCUUCGGAUCGUAAAACUCUGUUAUUAGGGAAGAACAAAUGUGUAAGUAACUAUGCACGUCUUGACGGUACCUAAUCAGAAAGCCACGGCUAACUACGUG